This 206-nucleotide ribosomal RNA is filed under the name uncultured bacterium. Its description in RNAcentral is "partial 16S ribosomal RNA". It matches the Rfam family "Bacterial small subunit ribosomal RNA", at positions 1285 to 1500 of the family's 1533-position model. The record is from RNAcentral.
GUCUCAGUUCGGACUGUGGGCUGCAACCCGCCCACACGAAGUCGGAGUUGCUAGUAAUCCCAAAUCAGCAUGUUGGGGUGAAUGCGUUCCCGGGUCUUGUACACACCGCCCGUCACACCAUGGAAGUUGGGGGUGCCCAAAGCCGGCAAGCAAAUAUGCUGUCUAAGGCAAAACCAAUGACUGGGGUGAAGUCGUAACAAGGUAAC